This 405-nucleotide ribosomal RNA is filed under the name uncultured bacterium. RNAcentral describes it as "partial 16S ribosomal RNA". It matches the Rfam family "Bacterial small subunit ribosomal RNA", at positions 30 to 526 of the family's 1533-position model. The record is from RNAcentral.
AUUGAACGCUGGCGGCAGGCUUAACACAUGCAAGUCGAACGAGUGGCGGACGGGUGCGUAAUGCUUGGGCAUCUAGCUUAUGUAGGGGUCUAACUACGGGAAACUGUAGCUACUACCGCGUACCGUAGUAUGAGCUCACGUGGGAUUAGGUAGUUGGUGAGGUAAAGGCUCACCAAGCCGACGAUCGCUAGCUGGUCUGAGAGGAUGACCAGCCACACGGGGACUGAGACACGGCCCAGACUCCUACGGGAGGCAGCAGUGGGGAAUAUUCCGCAAUGGGCGAAACCUGACGGAGCAAUGCCGCGUGAAUGAAGAAGGUCUUCGGGUUGUAAAGCUCUGUUGGUAGAGAGGCGGUAACGACACAAGAAGCAACGGCUAACUCCGUGCCAGCAGCCGCGGUAAUAC